GUGUCAGCAGCCGCGGUAAUACGGAGGGUGCGAGCGUUGUCCGGAAUCACUGGGCGUAAAGGGCGCGUAGGCGGCGCGACAAGUCAAUGGUGAAAGCCCGAGGCUCAACUUCGGGUCGGCCACUGAUACUGUUGGGCUUGAGCACUGUAGAGGCAGGUGGAAUUCCGGGUGUAGCGGUGGAAUGCGUAGAGAUCCGGAAGAACACCGGUGGCGAAGGCGGCCUGCUGGGCAGUAGCUGACGCUGAGGCGCGACAGCGUGGGGAGCAAACAGGAUUAGAAACCCUUGUAGUCC
Molecule: ribosomal RNA, 292 nt
Filed under: uncultured bacterium
Lineage: Bacteria
Description: partial 16S ribosomal RNA
Rfam family: Bacterial small subunit ribosomal RNA
Source: RNAcentral